UUACGACCAUAUGACGUCGAAUCACCAGUUCCCGUACGAUUACCUAAGUUAAGCAACAUCAAGCCUGAUCAGUACUUAGAUUGGUAACCGCUUGGGAAUAUCAGGUGCUGUAAG
Molecule: non-coding RNA, 114 nt
Organism: Acanthosepion pharaonis
Lineage: Eukaryota; Metazoa; Mollusca; Cephalopoda; Sepiida; Sepiidae
Source: the annotation of a GenBank genome assembly